GGGUAGAGCUCAUUUUCCUGUUUUUGUUCUUCGUGCAUUUAUUCUGUUGUGUGUGAGCGAAAACGGCGACAAAUGCAAAAGCUAUUGCGUAGUGUGGAGUAACAAGAUAUUCAGAACAACGGAACGCUAACUGACGCGUCGUAGAAUUGGAGUUUACUGGGGAAUCCCCCUGUAGCUGCAGUUUGUGUUUGUACUGUAUGUGUUCCUAGGACCAAAGUUUAAUGCUGUUAAUUAUAACAUGCUAAGAGAUUCAAGACUGUUUUCUACAGUGACAUUAUUGAAGCAUCUGGCACAUCUUGGCUCUGCGUUGAUUGUUUCCCUAUGGUGCUACAGCAGCUUCAUGAAAUUUUUUAAUUACAAGGAAACAAGCACUUCCUACAGCUGGCAUCAUCAGUCAAAUAAUAAGCACUCUCCAGUACCUUCUUUUGGGACUGCUGCUGAGAAGUGUUUAUGAAGUAUAUCGAGCUAUGAUAGCAAUAUAUACAUACUUUGAGGCAGAACUGUGGCCAACUGUGCUCCUUGUACUUGAGUGUUCUUUGUUGGGAAUCAGCUUACCAAUUCUGCCAAUCCAUCCUAUGAUUUUUAUCAUGCUGAUGUGGUGGUUGUUGCCAUAUACCUACAUGUUGAUGAAGCUGUACAAAACAUAUAAAAGGCUACAAUAUAUUAAUGACUGCAGACAGCUUUCAUAACUACAAUAUAAAGAAAUUAUAAGGGCAAGAAGUCACAUCAGCUACUAUUACAGAUAUAUAUGUACACAUUUGUAUAUUGCUGAUAAAGUAUCACAUAUUUAUUUAAAAUCUUUGGUCAAAAGCAUGUUAACAAUAAAACAUCAGCAAUUUCACACCAUUGAUGUGUGUGGAAAGUAUUGUUCACAGGCCUCUGUUGAUAAAUUUUGGUAAUUAUAGUUAAGCUCCAUCUUCAUAAAAACAUGACACAGUCUCAGGUUAAGUUGUGAGGACUCCAAUGAAUAUAUAAAGUAUUCGGCUCAGUGUUCCCCAUUG
Long non-coding RNA from Schistocerca americana (American grasshopper), 1001 nucleotides. RefSeq lists it as uncharacterized. The transcript has 6 exons. The record is from RefSeq and is a predicted model, not a curated record. Lineage: Eukaryota; Metazoa; Arthropoda; Insecta; Orthoptera; Acrididae.